GCAGGUGUCGCAAGACUCAAUAGAGAAGCCGGUGCGGAGCAAUCCAAUGCCGGCGCGGUCCCGCCACUGUAGGGGGAGCGUUUCCGCAUUUACGUCACUGAAGAGGGCGAAGCCUCUUUGGGAAGGCGCGGAAGCGCGAGGAACCAAGCCAGGAGAACUGCCUGUUUUA
Molecule: non-coding RNA, 169 nt
Filed under: uncultured Selenomonas sp.
Lineage: Bacteria; Bacillati; Bacillota; Negativicutes; Selenomonadales; Selenomonadaceae
Source: RNAcentral